UUCAUAAUAACUAAACGAAUCGCAUGGCCUUGCGCCGGCGAUGGUUCAUUCAAAUUUCUGCCCUAUCAACUUUCGAUGGUAGAGUAGUGGUCUACCAUGGUCUCAACGGGUAACGGGGAAUUAGGGUUCUAUUCCGGAGAGGGAGCCUGAGAAACGGCUACCACAUCCAAGGAAGGCAGCAGGCGCGCAAAUUACCCAAUCCCAAUUCGGGGAGGUAGUGACAAUAAAUACUGAUACAGGGCUCUUUUGGGUCUUGUAAUUGGAAUGAGUACAAUCUAAAUCCCUUAACGAGGAACAAUUGGAGGGCAAGUCUGGUGCCAGCAGCCGCGGUAAUUCCAGCUCCAAUAGCGUAUAUUAAAGUUGUUGCCGUUAAAAAGCUCGUAGUUGAACCUUGGGCCUGGCUGAUCUGUCCUCCUAAUCGAGCGCACGGAUUCGGUCGGGCCUUUCCUUCUGGGGAGCCGCAUGCCCUUCACUGGGCGUGUCGGGGAACCAGGACUUUUACCUUGAAAAAAUUAGAGUGUUCAAAGCAGGCCUUUGCUCGAAUACAUUAGCAUGGAAUAAUAGAAUAGGACAGAGGUUCUAUUUUGUUGGUUUCUAGGACCGCUGUAAUGAUUAAUAGGGAUAGUCGGGGCGUCCGUAUUCAAUUGUCAGAGGUGAAAUUCUUGGAUUUAUUGAAGACGAACUACUGCGAAAGCAUUCGCCAAGGAUGUUUUCAUUAAUCAGUGAACGAAAGUUAGGGGAUCGAAGACGAUCAGAUACCGUCGUAGUCUUAACCAUAAACUAUGCCGACUAGGGAUCGGACGGUGGUUUUUUUAUGCCCCGUUCGGCACCUUACGA
RNAcentral lists this ribosomal RNA (837 nucleotides) under Anthracina ramosa. RNAcentral describes it as "SSU rRNA". It matches the Rfam family "Eukaryotic small subunit ribosomal RNA", at positions 250 to 1093 of the family's 1831-position model. Lineage: Eukaryota; Fungi; Ascomycota; Eurotiomycetes; Chaetothyriales; Trichomeriaceae. The record is from RNAcentral.